CAUGCCUGAGCGUUUGCUCUUUUAUUUUAUCUCAUUCUUUCUAAAUCUUAGAGAUCUAAAUUCUUUAAUUAAAUCGGCGAUUUAAUCUAUUCGGAAACUAGCCGAACUGUGCGUGUAUACUAAAUUUCCCGAAUUAUCUUAAGUAUUUUUAAAAUACUUACCUUGUCUAGUUAAAAGUCCGCUUUAAUUAUUUUUCUAAAACUUUUUCACACGGAUUAAUAUUUCUUUUCUCCCGUGACUUAGGAAAUUAAUCCCACUAUACCUUGGAAUUUAUCCAAAAAUAGGAAUUUAAUUAUUCCGGCCUAGAAUGUACACUUUUUUUCUUUUUAGCAAAAGGCCCAACUUUUCUUCUUCUCUCCUUUUUUCUUAUAUGGCCCAAUUUCAAAUUAAAUGGGCAAACCCAAAUCUUCACUCUCACCCGUCGCCUAUCCUCUCUCUCUCUCCUUCACCCCCUUCUUCUUUUCCCCCAAUUUCGAUUCCAAACCCUAACUGAAAGAGAAAGGGGUCUGGAUCGGAGGAACGAGCGGCGACGUUUGCCGGGGUUGCCACUGUCGCGCUCGUCCCGUCGCGUCGGCAUCGUUCUUGCAGAGGAAGGAGCGUCGUUCAUUCGGUUGAACCGCCGUCACCGUUAGCCGCCUCCCGUUCCUCACGACGGAGAGUCAUCGCCGGUUGCUCCCCGGCGUUCAGCAGCGCCGUGCGACCGUCGCGGUUCAGCCCGCCCCUUGGGGUUCUCAGCCUCUCGGCGAGCCCUCCGUCGACGUCGCGCCACUGACUGACAACCUCUCCCUAAGCUAAGUUUUCUGCCUCCUAUUACUUAGCUCGUUUCGUGGGUUUUUAAAAGGCAAAGUUAUGACAAAUCUAUUCAUGACUUUUGGUGAUGUUCAAGCUUUGAUUUUGUGAGAGUUCGAUUACUGUGUCUAUUAAAUUGGUUCGUAGUAGAAGCUUUAUGUUGUGAUCCUUGGCAGAAAUUUAGCUCACUGGAAUGAAUCUUUACACAAAAGCUUUAUUCGCUAUUUCUAUGGCUUCUUAAGUGAUCAUGCUUCUAUGAUUCUAAGUUCUUGGAAAUUUAUGGGGUAUUCUCUAAAUGAUGCAAGAGUGUAUUGUGGGGUUACUUACUGAGAAACGGGCCGUGAGGUUGUGGGAUCUCCGGCCGAGCUUAGAAUGAACUCUCUCUGUUUUGUUCUGCUGCUGGAACGUUGUGUGGAGUUACCGGUUAUGGUGGUGAACAGGCUGCCCUGGCUCCAACUCCUUAAGCCACCCGACUCUCUACUCUCACUCUUGCUAUUUUGCUGGAAGUUUGUUAUGGUGUGUAGGAGGAGAAUUUGAUGCAUAUGGUGGAAUUUUUUAUAGGCUGAAAUCACUUGUCUUUAUGCAUUGUACGCCCCUUGUCCUUGGCCCCUCAGUGCAGCUUUCUUUAACCGAUUUUGGUGGUAUAUUGCAGGUGCACCAGGUUGGGUCAAAGGUUGUUAGAGCACCAGGUUUUCCUCCCUUUCUCUGGCUCAUUGCAGAUUCGGUUAUUGGGUGCAGAGAUUGGCUGUUAUCUGCAGCCUUCCGGCGCUGCAGUUGGAGGGGGAAGUUGGCUGGCUGAUCUUUCCCUUCUCGGCCCAGCCUUCUCUCACUUUUUCGAAAGGCUAAGGUUGUGGUGCCGAGGCUGUCUCUCCUUAUGGCCUCACCCUCUCGGCUCGUCUGGAAUUUUGGGGCCAAGAUGGCUCACGUUGAAGGCCGAGGAAGUCCUCUAGGACUCUUGAUUGUAAUAGAGUAGCUCGAUUUGAGUUUCCCUCUUUUUCUUUACAUGUAUGUAGAGUCUAUUGAAAAUAAUGUGUUUCUGUUUUCUUUGUUCUCUUGACCUUUUGUAAGCUUAGACUUUAGCUCGAAAUAAUGACAUGUUGUGUUGCUCAAGAAAUAAAUAAAUAUUCUUUCUUUCUCUUUA
Long non-coding RNA from Salvia splendens (bonfire salvia), 1930 nucleotides. RefSeq lists it as uncharacterized. The record is from RefSeq and is a predicted model, not a curated record. Lineage: Eukaryota; Viridiplantae; Streptophyta; Magnoliopsida; Lamiales; Lamiaceae. The transcript is spliced from 2 exons.